UGAGCUCAACCACCAUCGCUGUGAUACACAUCUUUGCCAGCCCAGCGUGUGCUCACUGUGGUCCCAUCCAACCAUAGAGCAGGUGGGUGUAUAUAUAACGAUACAAACCUGCUCUGGAGCACUUCUGAGCUUGUUCUUUGCACCUACCCAGGUGUGCAGGGCAAAGAAUUGGCUGUUUAUAAAGUUCAUUCUGUUCUCACUGUAUUGCAGGCACUGUUCAGCUGCUGGGUGGGUUCUCAUCAUCCUCUCAGGGUUUGGGGGUUUCAAGGGAAGGCGAUGGAAUAGCUGCCAUUGAUAUAAAAAAUGUAGGGUGUAGGUUAGAUACCAACAACGGCCAAGGGCGUAUUGGUGCUGGGAAGUGGGAUUUGCAUAAAAUCUUUGCAUUUUCUGUGCAAUAAGGCAGGCACCAAAAUGGAAACCUGAAGGUGACAAACCCGGCCGUCCCUUCGAAAAGCUUUAGUCUGGUGUUUGCCCUUUGAAGCCUAAGAAAAUCCCAGCUGGAAGAGCUGAGAUGCUUUUCAAAGGGAUGGCACCGCAGGAGCACAGAGGCUGCUUCCAAACGGAGUGGAUGCCCUGUGAUGCAGUCAGGUUUGGGGCAUCAGCAUCCCCCAACCCCAGCUCAGCUAUCUGCCUUGCAGUGGUCCCGGCCCUCCCAAGCUGUGCGUUUUGCUCGCUUCCAAAACCAAGGAGCCAACAGCGCUGAGACAAAAGUAAUUAUUUCAGCUAUUAGCUGCUAAGAAUAGAGCCCGCGGGGGUGCUCUGCAUGGCUGAGGUGCACUGACAGCACACUUGGAGGUAGCAGGGAUUGCAGUGGAAGCACAGAAAUAGCCGUUCUCCGCACUCAGCACUUUGAAGCUUCAUGAGUCACCGAAAUACACGGUGAGGGGACAGGUAGGGGGCAGAGGAAAUUACCCCUUCCCCCUUUACAUAUGAAAUAGAGCAUUUCCCUGGGCAAAUUGCUGGAUUUCUAGGGGGAGAACAGCAUUUUGCUGAGGACCUGGGGAGUGCUGGAUCUCGUAUGCAUCUUAACAUCUUGCCAUGGUGCUGUUUAGGACAACUUGUUGCAAUACCACAACAUGUUUUCACUCUGUAGAGCUGCUAAGGGGAGAGUUCCCUUUUAUGCUGUUUGUGCAGUGCAGGGUACGAUACAUUCCUGCUCCAUGACUACGUUUCCAAUCUACAUAGUAAAAGGAAUAAUAAUGAGAGUAAAAGUUGUACAGCUGUUUUUGUACAGCAAUCGGCGUGUCAUUUUAGUGCUGGAUUUCUCCAGCUAUUGUACAGGAAGAAAAAAUAAAAUAGAAAUCUGAUUUGUAAAAAACACCCUGCCCAACCAAAACAAAAACAAACAUACCCAAACUGGAGCUUUGAAAGAGAAUUUCUGUAUCAGUCCUGAGUACAGCCACAGAAAGGGUCAAGCUAGAUAGAAUUAAACAUCUCAGCUGGAGCAGGGACAGGGCAGCAGACAGCUUGCUAAAAAUAGAUUAAUCCUAAUUACAGCCACACUUCUACUUUUCCAAGGUUUCCUGUUUCACAUGGGGACACCAAGGCUGUGAAUGGACGGAGGGUCGCUGUGCUCAGCCCCCAGCCCUGGAAGGCAUCUGAGAGCCCAGCUGACCAGUAGACCUCACCGAGGUGAGACCUCCCCCUUCCUGCCCGUGCUCUGCAGGAAUAACCCUGCGCUGUCACUGUCCGGGCUGUUGUUGCAUUCCUGCUGGCUUUGCUGCAUGCAAGUCUUGUCUGAGUUUUGUACCUUCCUGUUGUCCUUGAAAUGGGGAUUGUAAAUUAUUUUGGCCAGCAGUAAACUGUCUUUGCUUGUCCAGCACUGAGCUGCUCUGGCCUCUCAGUUAAGGAUUCUCGCCACUUCUAAAAAUAAGUAAUUAUGAGAUAUUAUCUCCUUAAACUACUUGUUAAAAAGCGGAGGCAAGAAGACACUCCUUUCCCAUCCAUUUUCUCCUCAAACUACCAAUUUAUUUUUUUUAAUUUGCUUUAAAUGGUGCUCUUUCGAUCUGUUCUCUUCUGCAGCCAUUCAUACAGCAGGAGAGCACAACAGCCUCGAGGUUAGGAUGCGUACUUUCCACUCACACAACCAGAAUCAUUGGAAGGCCACAAGGAAGUUCUAAAAUCCAAGCUACCAUUAAGAAAACAGAAAUUAAGCUCAAAAAUAUUUUUAUGGAAGAGCCCUGGUUACUUUUCCCAGCUGGGAACUAUUUUGCAAACAAACCAUGAUUAGAAGUGGAACUUUUCUAUAUUGUUUUACUCCAAGGAUAACACAGAUAUUUUCAUUUUUCAAUAUGUUUUUGGUUUCCUUAUUUGACCAAUUCUCAUUGGUCGUCUUAACCCAACAGUAGAUUGAUUUCCCUUUCCAGAAUGGGAGACAUUUGUUUUCAACGAUUCCUUCAGAUAAUCCGCAAAGUAGAAAACAAAACAUUAAACAUUACAAAACAAACCAGAUGAAAAUACUUUCAGCUUUGCUCAUGUUCCUGCCAACUAUUUUUCUUUAAAAAAACAAAACAACACCAACCAGCCCCUUCUCAGCCCGUGCACCAACAACUGUAUCGUUUUACUCCUUUAAAGGGGAAGGCAUGGCUGAGGAUGAGCUCUGCAGUGGCCAAGCUCUGAGUUUAAGCCUCCAAUCCAGCAUCUAGUGCUAUUCCUGCCCAAAGGACAAGGCAGUAAGGGUAUAUUCUAGCAAAGGUAUGAAUUUUUAAGGCUUUCUUGAACGAGUAUUUUGAAUAGCAAACCAAAGAUCAGCCAUAUUAUUAAGGGAUUCAUAGAAUUCACCCAAUUUAUUUGCCCAAACCACUCCUUUUUUUCCCCCUUACUGUCAUUUUGGGCUUCUUACAGCCAGCCCAGGAAAAGGAGGCAUUUAACACAUCAAAAAGCUGAGAGUGGUAUUUCCAGCAGGCCUCUGCCUCCUCAUUUAUACCUGUGAGCGUGCAGUUCUGUACAGUUCUCUCUUUGGAAGGCAGCACAGCCUCAGUGUACUGUAAUAUGCCGAAAACAGCCUGGCAGAACCUCUCCUUCUGAGGCCUUUGUGCUGCCAUCCACUGCUGCGUUCUCUGAGCAGGUUGCUGUGAAAGAUAAAUAGCAGAGUCCCAAAGUGAUUUAAUGGAGUUUCCAUAACCUUCUGUCAGUAGAAGCGCUGCUUGGCAGAGGAACUUAGAGUUUUCUUUCAACUUUAACUCACUCCAGGCUUCUCUUACCCCUUCAUUUGACAGGUUUUUUCCCAGACUGGAAGGUUUCCACCAAGUCAUGAAGAUGGUUGUGUUUGGGAUGGUCCGGUGGAUCCUGUGCCUCGUGUCAGCUCUGCCGUUUGGGGAAGCCCCUACAGGUGAAUCUGUGGCAAGGUAGAAGGUCCAUGGUUCUCAUAAGGAAGUGAAGGAGUUGCAAAAUGGGAGCUUCUGCAGAAAAGUGUCUUCUGGCACUAGCUGUGCCCCAUUCCUACCAUCAAUAAGCCUUGGGUGAAAAGAGGGAGGUGCUCCAGGGGGACUUGGGAAAGCAGACUGGAUGUGACAGUGAAAAAUAAGGCUAUUGGAGGCACACAGCCAUGAGCCAGGAAUGGCUGAGCCCUGAGUCCCACAGGGACUCCCUCCAUAGGUCCGCCUACAGGAGCACCAGGCUCCCACGGGUUCACUUUCAGCUGCUGAGAGCCAUUCUAUCCUUAGCACUGCCCUCCCCAGAGCUGCCACAAAUGUGUUCUGCACUGUGAGUCCAGAGAUCCACAGCUGCAGCUCUGGAGUGGGAGCUUUCCUUGGCAGCUCUGGGUGAGACGUGGGCGAGGGCACCAGUGGAAGGAGCCCCGUUACGCCCUGACCCGUGUGAGCACACGUCUGUUUCUGCGCAGCCUCCCUCGCAGACCCGCCGAAAUCUGGGUUAUAUAAUGCCACUGCUGCCUCGAAACAGGGAGGUUAAAAUGAGGUCGUCCAAGAUGGGAGCUGCCUGCAGCCUGCAGCCGCCUCGGGAGGACUGCCUGCGCCGAGCCCUGCGCGCAGAGGAGCACUGCAACAUAAACAUACAGAAACAUAGGUCAGGAUGCUGGAAGUCUCCGGAGCGCUCAUGGUGUGGAAUCAGGCCCAUUUCUUUAUUUGCAACUCCCUGUUUAUGUGACGAACUGUGCUGAGCAGGCAGCGUGACGGGCUGCGGUCACAGGGCACUGCAGAGCUGCGGGGUGCCAGAUCCACACAGCGCAGAGCUCUGUGCCACAGCCAGCCCCAGGUGUUACCCUUUUUAAGCAUGUUUUAAGGGUGCAAGGUCUACAUUAUUCCUUCCAUCAUUGCUUUAUUUGCAGUAUGCCAGGGAAAGGCCAUCGCUCCAAGGGGAUCCACGUAAGAAAGUAUAGGACUGUAAUAGAAAAAGCAAGAAUUCUAUUGCAUUAAAGCAGAUAUUCUUUUUCCAGAACACUAAUGCAAUUCCUCCAGAACAAAGAGUGGAAGCUUCCUCCUGUAAAUGCAUUUCACAGAGACCACAAGGUGGGAAACGUGGGGCUGUUUGAGGGGAGCUGCUUGGGAUGAGCACAUCAGUGAGUUCAGCACUGGGCAUUGGGUGAUUCCAUGACUGGAGGGCCACUAAAACCAACACGCUGCUGCAAACAAAGAGACAAAAGUCACAUUACCAGGAGCACAUGAGUUUGAGGAAGACCUACUCCCUCCUAACAGCAUGUGAAAACACCUGAUUUCCCAUUGUCAUGGUAAGCCUUUCCUUCAAAGCACUCCUAAUUUGUUUCCUGAUCCUCCAGCUUCUUGGUUGGUGCCAGAACAGAGCAGUGAGGGCUGGAGAGUUGUUGGCAGGACAGCAGCUGGGGAACAGUCUUUGUCUUUGACAGCAAGCGAUGGACAGUGCUUCUGUCCCACUGGGGGGAAUUUCUGCAUCACCAUCACUAAACUGGAUACAUGUGGGAUGAUUGCUGACCACAGAAAGAAGCCGAAGAUGAACCACCUACCUGCUGAAGGCAGAGGAUCAGCGCUGCUCCAGCCUUGCUCCUUGUUGGUACACAAGUUAGGCAAGUUACUUCGGGUAGAGAUCCCAGUGGGGGAUGGAGCCCUGUGUUAUCCUCCAAAGGGUCCCAGUUUGUGCAGGCAAUAUAACUGCACAUCAGUCUUUGCUGCUCCACAGCAGCACUCCCUUUGGGUUACUUCUCUGCUGAUUUUCAGAGGGAGCAGUUGGGCUGAGAACCCAGAGGGGCAGCCUGGCCAAUGCAGUGUUGCAAACUCUGCCCCAUCCUGGCAGAGCAAUGCAAAGGCAGGGAGUUACCCCGAGUAAAACCCUUGCUCAGAUGGACCAUGAACGCAGCCACAGGAUAAGGUAGCAACCCAUAACGUAGGUAAGAAGCAUUUUGCAAAGGGGCAGUGCGUAAAAACAAGCCUGAGCAAAAGGAAAGUUAAGCCUCUUAAAUAUUAAAGUUCCAAAAUUAAACCCUUGUUUAUAUAACAGUUGGGUCACUGCUGCAGAACACGGGAGUUCACAGCAUUGCACCAAAAAAGGCUCUCGUGGAGCCAACAGCUGCUCCCCAGGGGCUCAGAGCAGGUGGGGAGCAGAGCUGCAGCCAGGAGGAUGCUCGUAGGGUUCAGCUGCCCUGACACGAAGUCUGCAGUCACCCCAUAAAGCAGUGCAACCCUUCGGGAUGUGCCUUGGAAGUUGGUGUAGGGGGAUGUCCGGCCCAUUCCUGCCUGCCCCCCUGCUUCGGUUUGGCUCAUCGCAGGUGAUAGCACAGCAACACAAGGCAAAUGCAUGCACAAAACAUAGAGAAUAACUUCAUGAAGUUUCUCUGCUGCUCAGUUAUCUUCAAAAAGCCAUCUAGAAAGGCCCGCAGAUACACCCCUACUUAUUAUUUUGUAAGAAAAGAGCACAAAAGAACUUAAUCCAAAGUAAAUAUUUAACCAAACAGCAAUUAACUAACAAUGAUGGAUUGUAAACAGCGCUGCUCCGAGGCUGAGCUGCAGCUCUCCUCUGUUUCUCUGGGCUACGGCUGCCCUAAGGGGGAAGGCAAGUUUACCGAGUCAGAUUUGUCUCUGCCACCUCGCUAUUAAAAGGCUCUACAAACAGAAACGGCAUCGGAUGAUCUGAGAGCGAGGAAAACAAUAAAGAACACAGCAAUGCAGGGCACGGGAGUUGUAAGGCUUUAUGGAGCAACUGUCCUUGGGAAGGAGGGCUGAGCAAACACGAAGCUGUAAAGGAACUGCUUCCCAUCCGGGCAGCUUGUGUGAUACAUCCCAUGGGGCAGCAGUCCCACUUACCCACGAGGAAGUAGUGAUAAUAACAAUAAUAAUAAUAAUGUAUUUUAAUAUUUUAAUACUUAAUACUUAUUAAAUUAUUAUUAUGUCCCAUUUGUUAUUGUUAUGCUCCAUUAUCAUUAUGUUCCCUUCGGGAAGAUGUCCCCCCCACGGAUCACUACUUCCA
RNAcentral lists this long non-coding RNA (6396 nucleotides) under Gallus gallus (chicken). Lineage: Eukaryota; Metazoa; Chordata; Aves; Galliformes; Phasianidae. The record is from RNAcentral.